Sphaerobolus stellatus SS14 is the source of this 81-nucleotide transfer RNA. It matches the Rfam family "tRNA". From Rfam's summary of the family: Transfer RNA (tRNA) molecules are approximately 80 nucleotides in length. Their secondary structure includes four short double-helical elements and three loops (D, anti-codon, and T loops). Further hydrogen bonds mediate the characteristic L-shaped molecular structure. tRNAs have two regions of fundamental functional importance: the anti-codon, which is responsible for specific mRNA codon recognition, and the 3' end, to which the tRNAs corresponding amino acid is attached (by aminoacyl-tRNA synthetases). tRNAs cope with the degeneracy of the genetic code in two manners: having more than one tRNA (with a specific anti-codon) for a particular amino acid; and 'wobble' base-pairing, i.e. permitting non-standard base-pairing at the 3rd anti-codon position. The record is from Rfam. Lineage: Eukaryota; Fungi; Basidiomycota; Agaricomycetes; Geastrales; Sphaerobolaceae.
GCCUUGCUAGCUCAAUCGGUAGAGCGUGAGACUCUUAAUAAGUAAAUCUCAAGGUUGCGGGUUCGACCCCCGCGUGGGGCU